UAGAGCCUGGUCACAGGUAGUGAACUAUAAAUUAACUCUCCAUUCCUUUAUCUAGAGCCUGGUCACAGGUAGUGAACUAUAAAUGAACUCCCUAUUCCUUUAUCUAGAGCCUGGUCACAGGUAGUGAACUAUAAAUUAACUCUCCAUUCCUUUAUCUAGAGCCUGGUCACAGGUAGUGAACUAUAAAUGAACUCCCCAUUCCUUUAUCUAGAGCCUGGUCACAGGUAGUGAACUAUAAAUUAACUCUCCAUUCCUUUAUCUAGAGCCUGGUCACAGGUAGUGAACUAUAAAUGAACUCCCUAUUCCUUUAUCUAGAGCCUGGUCACAGGUAGUGAACUAUAAAUUAACUCUCCAUUCCUUUAUCUAGAGCCUGGUCACAGGUAGUGAACUAUAAAUUAACUCUCCAUUCCUUUAUCUAGAGCCUGGUCACAGGUAGUGAACUAUAAAUGAACUCCCUAUUCCUUUAUCUAGAGCCUGGUCACAGGUAGUGAACUAUAAAUGAACUCCCUAUUCCUUUAUCUAGAGCCUGGUCACAGGUAGUGAACUAUAAAUUAACUCUCCAUUCCUUUAUCUAGAGCCUGGUCGCAGGUAGUGAACUAUAAAUGAACUCUCCAUUCCUUUAUCUAGAGCCUGGUCACAGGUAGUGAACUAUAAAUUAACUCUCCAUUCCUUUAUCUAGAGCCUGGUCGCAGGUAGUGAACUAUAAAUUAACUCCCCAUUCCUUUAUCUAGAGCCUGGUCACAGGUAGUGAACUAUAAAUGAACU
This is a long non-coding RNA of Oncorhynchus keta (chum salmon), 765 nucleotides long. RefSeq lists it as uncharacterized. NCBI's taxonomy places the organism in Eukaryota, Metazoa, Chordata, Actinopteri, Salmoniformes, Salmonidae. The record is from RefSeq and is a predicted model, not a curated record. The transcript is spliced from 4 exons.